AGUGAACGCUGGCGGUAGGCCUAACACAUGCAAGUCGAACGGCAGCACAGUAAGAGCUUGCUCUUACGGGUGGCGAGUGGCGGACGGGUGAGGAAUACAUCGGAAUCUACUUUUUCGUGGGGGAUAACGUAGGAAAACUUACGCUAAUACCGCAUACGACCUACGGGUGAAAGCAGCGGAUCUUCGGACCUUGCGCGAUUGAAUGAGCCGAUGUCGGAUUAGCUAGUUGGCGGGGUAAAGGCCCACCAAGGCGACGAUCCGUAGCUGGUCUGAGAGGAUGACCAGCCACACUGGAACUGAGACACGGUCCAGACUCCUACGGGAGGCAGCAGUGGGGAAUAUUGGACAAUGGGCGCAAGCCUGAUCCAGCCAUACCGCGUGGGUGAAGAAGGCCUUCGGGUUGUAAAGCCCUUUUGUUGGGAAAGAAAAGCAGCAGGUUAAUACCCCGCUGUUCUGACGGUACCCAAAGAAUAAGCACCGGCUAACUUCGUG
Molecule: ribosomal RNA, 492 nt
Filed under: uncultured bacterium
Lineage: Bacteria
Description: partial 16S ribosomal RNA
Rfam family: Bacterial small subunit ribosomal RNA
Source: RNAcentral